Molecule: small RNA, 155 nt
Filed under: Enterobacter sp. WP_7_1
Lineage: Bacteria; Pseudomonadati; Pseudomonadota; Gammaproteobacteria; Enterobacterales; Enterobacteriaceae
Also listed under: 1 other name
Description: sroC RNA
Rfam family: sroC RNA
About the family: This family consists of a number of bacterial sroC RNA genes of around 160 bases in length. sroC is found in several Enterobacterial species.
Source: RNAcentral
ACUAAUUAGAACAACAGGGGUGGGAUCUCCUGCCCUCUCGAUUGUCGGGAAGCAUGGACAGACUAUACGUUGAGUGGUCGUUCCCCACUCAGCGCGAAAAAUGAGCUUCUCACCAAUCUUCGAGGGUAGCGCUGCUACCCUUUUUUUUCUGGAGU